Molecule: ribosomal RNA, 253 nt
Filed under: uncultured bacterium
Lineage: Bacteria
Description: partial 16S ribosomal RNA
Rfam family: Bacterial small subunit ribosomal RNA
Source: RNAcentral
UACAGAGGUCCCAAGCGUUGUUCGGAUUCAUUGGGCGUAAAGGGUGCGUAGGCGGCGCGGUAAGUCGGAUGUGAAAUCUCGGAGCUUAACUUCGAAACUGCAUUCGAUACUGCUUUGCUUGAGGACUGGAGAGGAGAUUGGAAUUCACGGUGUAGCAGUGAAAUGCGUAGAUAUCGUGAGGAAGACCAGUGGCGAAGGCGGAUCUCUGGACAGUUCCUGACGCUGAGGCGCGAAGGCCAGGGGAGCAAACGGG